RNAcentral lists this long non-coding RNA (1332 nucleotides) under Bemisia tabaci. RNAcentral describes it as "lncRNA ENSSSA1UGG009810". The record is from RNAcentral. Lineage: Eukaryota; Metazoa; Arthropoda; Insecta; Hemiptera; Aleyrodidae.
UUAGAGUGUUACGUAAUUUAUGGACGACCCCUAAAAAAUAUUAACGAAAGUGCUUGAAAUUUUAUCUCGUGAAGUCUCGUGAAAUUCUGAGUCUGCAGGGUGUCUGCUAAAACAGGCUGGCCAAAAAUCAGUACAUUUACAGUACUUUUUCAGUACAUAUUUUCAUGAAAUUCAGUACCUCCUCAACAGAAAAUUCACCACUUUUACAAUACCUUCGACUGACGAAAUUCGAAAAAUUUCAAAAAUUUGAAUUUCCCGCUCAAAUUGCGACAAAAAUGAAAAAAAUUCCGGACUUUCUUGCAAAAUUUCCGCACUUUUUCAGUGCUUCCCGACCGCCCUUAAAAAAUCAGUACUAUUUCUGGACUUUUAGGAAAUUCCAGACUUGUAAACACCCUGGUCUCUGAUUGGAAUCUCUGUGUUUCAGUGGGCUCAGCACAAUGAAUGAUCAGAGGCAUUCAUUGGUUGUUCUACUAAAAAGUAAAAAGCCCGGAAAUUUUCUUCCACUUGCAUAAUUUUCCGCUCGAGAAACUUGACAAUUACACUUGACUUUCACACUUGAGAUGCACGUUUUGUGUGCGACGAGUUACAAUGACAGACAACGAAGGGGCCAGACUCUUUUCCUCGGAAAGAGACCGGAUAAUCCCAUGCUUAAAUAAUCACGGAGACAAACAAGAGAAGACAAAUAUGCUGUUGAGAAUUUAUUCCACAGGAACAAGCCUGUUAAAUAGGACGACGUAAUCCUCGUCAAUAAACCUUACCUCACCGAUAACGUGAUUUAUUGGCCUCUAUGACUUCGAGAAAGCGGGAAAUCAAAUGACAGAACACUUGACGACAACUUACGAAUCAACUAACAUGGGUAUGAGAGAUUUUAAGUAUAUCAUCUCCUGAGGUAUGCGUAUAGCAUUAUGUUUUUCAAAGAUCAAGAAAAAUUGGUUAUGGAAUAUUGGCGUCUAUGACUUCGAGAAAGCGGGAAAUCAAAUGAAAGAACACUUGAAGAAAACUUACGAAUCAACUAACAUACGUAAGUAUGAGAGAUUUAAAGUAUAUCAUCUCCUGAGGUAUUUGUAUAGCAUUACAUAUAUAUUUUUCAAAGCUCAUGAAAAAAUAGCAAUCUUAUAUGGUGCUUGUACGCACCAGUUAAAAUCUCAGAUUGCAAGCCUUUAUUUUUACCNNNNNNNNNNNNNNNCACCGCACCGAGAGGGGAUCCAAACGUGGAUGGUCCGGCGAAGGGUUAGUGCUUACUCGCGGCGGCGACGCGACUGCUCGCGGGGUGACGUAUGCUUCCAUUGGCGGGAAAGUGCGUGCGAGGUGGGCGCGCGCUUCGUCGGAUAG